Molecule: transfer RNA, 68 nt
Filed under: Chionomys roberti (Robert's snow vole)
Lineage: Eukaryota; Metazoa; Chordata; Mammalia; Rodentia; Cricetidae
Description: tRNA-Pro
Rfam family: tRNA
About the family: Transfer RNA (tRNA) molecules are approximately 80 nucleotides in length.
Source: RNAcentral
CAGGAAGUAGUUUAAGUAGAAUAUCAGCUUUGGGUGUUGAUGGUGGAGGGGUGAUCCUUCCUUCCUGA